This is a long non-coding RNA of Musa acuminata AAA Group (dessert banana), 549 nucleotides long. RefSeq lists it as uncharacterized. The transcript is spliced from 3 exons. The record is from RefSeq and is a predicted model, not a curated record. NCBI's taxonomy places the organism in Eukaryota, Viridiplantae, Streptophyta, Magnoliopsida, Zingiberales, Musaceae.
AAAUAUCAGCUUCGAGUACCGGGAAAGGGAAGCCGUCCUCUUUCCUUCACAUCGGCACUGCCAAGUCGAUCAAGCAGAGCGAUGAAGCCAGUGAUCUUCUUUACAGGGAUUACCAGACGGAUCACAAGUUCACCGUCAAGACGUACACAUCCAACGGAGUCGUGAGCAAUCAUUCUCUUUUCUUGGGGGAAUGUUACCUCGGCCAGUGGAUCUGAAAUAACAAGAAGCAGCAUACAUGGGAUAUCUAACUUGUGGCCAUCAGUAUAAUUUUGUUACUUUCUUUUGGUGAUUAAUGUUUUCUGUUGGACUUCAUCAGCUUGUCAGGUGAAUGAUGGUAGUUUGGCUACAAAACAUAGGCUCUGCAGCAGCCAUAGGAGGUGUCUAUUAUACUACCGUGUUUAGUUGUCAAAAGCAUUGCAUCAAGUAUAAUUCGGACGGCUUCUUAUUUUACAUGUUCAUGCCCUUAUUAUGUGAAAAUUCCUUGCUUAUUUGUGGCAACAAUUAAUGUAAUUUCCAAUAUUGGUUGAUGAACUGAACAGUAGAUCUGAA